GUCAAAUUAUCACUUAUCGGGCUAUCGAGAUAUUCAUUUUCAAACUUUUUCCUUCUAAUUAGUUAAUUAAUAGUUUCGUCCUCAAUCUUUUUACAUGGGAAAUUAAAUUAUUUUAAAUUUUGCGCAUUUUUCAUUCUUAUUUUGACCAAUCACAUUAAUUGUUUACGGACCAAUUUUGUUCAAAUAUAACAGGUCUCACUGUAUUCAGUCAUUAUAUUAGUACUAUUGAUUUCAUCAUCAUGAACUUCUCAACAAAAAAUUUCACUUCAUGUAAACUCUGUGUGGACCACCCAUUGAGUAGAUGGCUCAAAAGGAUACGCUUUUUAAGAAUGAAAGGAAAGUUUCCAAGUGAAAACGUGGAAAAGGAUAGUAAAAUGAUUUCUAUGGGAUUGAAGCUGACCAAGGAGUACAAAGUGCCACCUUGCUCUUGUCAUUUUAAAGUGCCUAUUCCUGUAGAUUACGAUAAGUCGAUGAGAGUUGCUGACCUUGUUUUUGGCGCUAACAAGUCAUCAUCUCGUCCACCCAUCGUCUCCGAAAUUGAGAUAUUAAAAUAAUUAUGAUUUCUUUUUACUCAUCGAUUCCAGGAUUGAUUGAUAUUAUUAAUAAGUGAACUUGGAAAACGUUUGAUUUUUGAAUGAUUUCGAGUCCAUUCAGUUUAUUGAUAACAAAUGGUCAUCAAAUUAACAACUAUUAAAGGUUAUCACUAUUAAAUAAUCAAAUUAUAUUUGAUGAUUGGAAGAUGAUUAUAAUAAAUGACCUUUCAAGAAUCGA
This is a long non-coding RNA of Panonychus citri (citrus red mite), 771 nucleotides long. RefSeq lists it as uncharacterized. The record is from RefSeq and is a predicted model, not a curated record. NCBI's taxonomy places the organism in Eukaryota, Metazoa, Arthropoda, Arachnida, Trombidiformes, Tetranychidae. The transcript has 2 exons.